Molecule: small nucleolar RNA, 74 nt
Organism: Gambusia affinis (western mosquitofish)
Lineage: Eukaryota; Metazoa; Chordata; Actinopteri; Cyprinodontiformes; Poeciliidae
Source: Ensembl
GGUGGAUGUGAUGAUUCCUUGUUUACCGCCCCAGUCUGAGAAGUAAUGACUGAUUGGUAUUACUCUGAUCCAAC